AAGAAAGUGGCAGAUUGGCAAUGUGAUUGGCUUGAAACUAAUUCAAGGGGGUUCGAUUCCUCCCUUUCUCG
This 71-nucleotide transfer RNA is filed under the name Hypodytes rubripinnis (redfin waspfish). RNAcentral's name for it is "tRNA-Ser". It matches the Rfam family "tRNA". Rfam says of the family: Transfer RNA (tRNA) molecules are approximately 80 nucleotides in length. Their secondary structure includes four short double-helical elements and three loops (D, anti-codon, and T loops). The record is from RNAcentral. Lineage: Eukaryota; Metazoa; Chordata; Actinopteri; Perciformes; Tetrarogidae.